GAUGAACGCUAGCUAUAGGCUUAACACAUGCAAGUCGAGGGGAAACGGCAUUAUGUGCUUGCACAUUUUGGACGUCGACCGGCGCACGGGUGAGUAUCGCGUAUCCAACCUGCCCUUUACUUGGGGAUACCCCGUUGAAAGACGGCCUACUACCCGCUGUAAUUCAUUGAUGGCAUCAGAUAUGAAUACAAGAUUUAUCGGUAAAGGAUGGGGAUGCGUUUGAUUAGUUUGUUGGUGAGGUAACGGCUAACCAAGGCGACGAUCAGUAGGGGUUAUGAGAGGCAGCCACACUGCAAUUGAGACACGGCCCAGUCCAAACCCCUAGGGGGCGGAGGAGUAAGGAAUAUUAGGCAAGGGAGGCUAGCCUGAACCAGCCAAGUAGGGUGCAGGAAGACGGCGCUAUGGGUGGUAAACUGCUUUUAAACAAGAAUAAUUUGAUGCACGUGUGCGUUAUUGCAUGUAUCGUAUGAAUAAGGACCGGCUAAUUCCGUG
Molecule: ribosomal RNA, 492 nt
Filed under: uncultured bacterium
Lineage: Bacteria
Description: partial 16S ribosomal RNA
Rfam family: Bacterial small subunit ribosomal RNA
Source: RNAcentral